AAUAUAAUCAAAUGAAUUGAUGUCAAUCACCUCACUGCCUUGCUAAUUAGAACCUAAAAUGAUUGUACACCGAUACACUCUUGUAGUGAGUAAUUAAUGGAUGAAGGAAAUAAUUAAUUGGAUUAAUUAAGUGUUGUGAUUAAUUUAGGAAGUCUAAAGAAAUCAUGAAAGCGAUAAAAGAUCGUUUUGGGCUUAAAGAAACGUUCGGGUUUAAUUGGGCCCAUUGGGCCUAAACCCA
This 238-nucleotide long non-coding RNA is filed under the name Malus domestica (apple). Its description in RNAcentral is "long non-coding RNA (MDOM_LNC012755)". Lineage: Eukaryota; Viridiplantae; Streptophyta; Magnoliopsida; Rosales; Rosaceae. The record is from RNAcentral.